This 547-nucleotide ribosomal RNA is filed under the name uncultured bacterium. RNAcentral describes it as "bacterial SSU rRNA". It matches the Rfam family "Bacterial small subunit ribosomal RNA", at positions 355 to 896 of the family's 1533-position model. The record is from RNAcentral.
UGGGGAAUAUUGCGCAAUGGGGGGAACCCUGACGCAGCCAUGCCGCGUGAAUGAAGAAGGCCUUCGGGUUGUAAAGUUCUUUCGGUAUUGAGGAAGGUUGAUGUGUUAAUAGCACAUCAAAUUGACGUUAAAUACAGAAGAAGCACCGGCUAACUCCGUGCCAGCAGCCGCGGUAAUACGGAGGGUGCGAGCGUUAAUCGGAAUAACUGGGCGUAAAGGGCACGCAGGCGGUUAUUUAAGUGAGGUGUGAAAGCCCCGGGCUUAACCUGGGAAUUGCAUUUCAGACUGGGUAACUAGAGUACUUUAGGGAGGGGUAGAAUUCCACGUGUAGUGGUGAAAUGCGUAGAGAUGUGGAGGAAUACCGAAGGCGAAGGCAGCCCCUUGGGAAUGUACUGACGCUCAUGUGCGAAAGCGUGGGGAGCAAACAGGAUUAGAUACCCUGGUAGUCCACGCUGUAAACGCUGUCGAUUUGGGGGUUGGGGUUUAACUCUGGCGCCCGUAGCUAACGUGAUAAAUCGACCGCCUGGGGAGUACGGCCGCAAGGUUA